GACAUCUCUUCUCUAUUCUGAUAAUAAUUAAGAAUUGUACAGACAGGUGCAAACAGGAAAUCCUCUUUUACAACCCAGAAUUCACUGCUGACUAUGAGAUUUGGGUACUUGUAAGAAGGAAUAUU
Perognathus longimembris pacificus (Pacific pocket mouse) is the source of this 125-nucleotide small nucleolar RNA. RefSeq annotates it as small nucleolar RNA SNORA40. The transcript has a single exon. NCBI's taxonomy places the organism in Eukaryota, Metazoa, Chordata, Mammalia, Rodentia, Heteromyidae. The record is from RefSeq and is a predicted model, not a curated record.